CCUCGAAGUACUCUGAGGCUUGUAGGAGGGUAAAAUAGAGACCCAGUAAAAUUGUAAUAAGCAGUGCUUGAAUUAUUUGGUUUCGGUUGUUUUCUAUUAGACUAUGGUGAGCUCAGGUGAUUGAUACCCCUGAUGCGAGUAAUACGGAUGUGUUUAGGAGUGGGACUUCUAGGGGAUUUAGCGGGGUGAUGCCUGUUGGGGGCCAGUGUCCCCCUAGUUGGGGGGUGGGAGCUAGGCUGGAGUGGUAAAAGGCUCAGAAAAAUCCUGCGAAGAAAAAAACUUCUGAGGUAAUAAAUAGGAUUAUCCCGUAUCGAAGGCCUUUCUGGACAGGUGGUGUGUGGUGGCCUUGGUAUGUGCUUUCUCGUGUUACAUCGCGCCAUCAUUGGUAUAUGGUUAGUGUGUUGGUUAGUAGGCCUAGUAUGAGGAGGGUUGUGGAGUGGAAGUGAAAUCACAUGGCUAGGCCGGAGGUCAUUAGGAGGGCUGAGAGGGCCCCUGUUAGGGGCCAUGGGCUGGGUUUUACUAUAUGAUAGGCAUGUGAUUGGUGGGUCAUUAUGUGUUGUCGUGCAGGUAGAGGCUUACUAGAAGUGUAAAAACGUAGGCUUGGAUUAAGGCGACAGCGAUUUCUAGGAUAGUCAGUAGAAUUAGAAUUGUGAAGAUGAUAAGUGUAGAGGGAAGGUUAAUAGUUGAUAUUGCUAGUGUGGCGCUUCCAAUUAGGUGCAUGAGUAGGUGGCCUGCAGUAAUGUUAGCGGUUAGGCGUACGGCCAGGGCUAUUGGUUGAAUGAGUAGGCUGAUGGUUUCGAUAAUAACUAGUAUAGGGAUAAGGGGUGUAGGUGUGCCUUGUGGUAAGAAGUGGGCUAGGGCAUUUUUAAUCUUAGAGCGAAAGCCUAUAAUCACUGCGCCCGCUCAUAAGGGGAUGGCCAUGGCUAGGAAGAUUGUAGUGGUGAGGGUGUUUAUUAUAAUAAUGUUUGUGUAUUCGGCUAUGAAGAAUAGGGCGAAGGGGCCUGCGGCGUAUUCGAUGUUGAAGCCUGAGACUAGUUCGGACUCCCUUU
RNAcentral lists this long non-coding RNA (1049 nucleotides) under Homo sapiens (human). RNAcentral describes it as "HSALNT0289555". The record is from RNAcentral. Lineage: Eukaryota; Metazoa; Chordata; Mammalia; Primates; Hominidae.